UACGUAGGGGGCUAGCGUUGUCCGGAAUCAUUGGGCGUAAAGCGCGUGUAGGCGGUCCGGUAAGUCCGCUGUGAAAGUCGGGGGCUCAACCCUCGGAUGCCGGUGGAUACUGUCGGGCUUGAGUAUGGAAGAGGCGAGUGGAAUUCCUGGUGUAGCGGUGAAAUGCGCAGAUAUCGGGAGGAACACCUGUGGCGAAGGCGGCCCCCUGGUCGGAUACUGACGCUGAGACGCGAAAGCGUGGGGAGCAAACAGG
RNAcentral lists this ribosomal RNA (253 nucleotides) under uncultured bacterium. RNAcentral's name for it is "partial 16S ribosomal RNA". It matches the Rfam family "Bacterial small subunit ribosomal RNA", at positions 524 to 776 of the family's 1533-position model. The record is from RNAcentral.